GGACACGGGACCGAAGCUGAGCCAAUCAAAGUCCUUCCCUUUGAAACAGGACUGGAUAGAGGAAAACUUACUGGCAUCAUCACAAAACGGAAAGACGAAGCUCUUCUCCUUCUUUGGAAGAGCUGGCUUUAAGCUCUUUCCCGAAAGCCUGAGGCAUGAAGUGUUUAGAACCAGCUCUCUGAUGCAGGACCUGCCCCCAAGCUCCACAUCCCAGGGUCUCUCUGGCCUCAGUUUCUCCACCUGCAGCAGAAGAGCUGAUCCCUAAGAGAGAUGGUGCAACCAGAGGCUUGGGAAGCCUCCCGAAUCCAAAUUAAUUAAAGCGUGGAGCAAGCCGCAGAUGAAAGAAGCUUGUAGAACUCUUCCACAAUCCUAAUAAAGAAU
RNAcentral lists this long non-coding RNA (381 nucleotides) under Equus caballus (horse). Its description in RNAcentral is "lncRNA (ENSECAG00000051495.1)". Lineage: Eukaryota; Metazoa; Chordata; Mammalia; Perissodactyla; Equidae. The record is from RNAcentral.